Molecule: ribosomal RNA, 518 nt
Filed under: uncultured Archaeospora
Lineage: Eukaryota; Fungi; Glomeromycota; Glomeromycetes; Archaeosporales; Archaeosporaceae
Description: SSU rRNA
Rfam family: Eukaryotic small subunit ribosomal RNA
Source: RNAcentral
AGCAGCCGCGGUAAUUCCAGCUCCAAUAGCGUAUAUUAAAGUUGUUGCAGUUAAAAAGCUCGUAGUUGAAUUUUAGGCCUGGCCGGGCGGUCCGUCUUUGGCGAGUACUGUUCUGUGUCGGGUCUUACCUUCUGGUAAACCGGCAUUUCCUUUAUCGUGUAUGCCGUGGGAACCAGGACCAUUACCUUGAAAAAUUAGAGUGUUUAAAGCGGGCUUUUGCUUGAAUAGAUUAGCAUGGAAUAAUAAAAUAGGACGUUGGUUCUAUUUUGUUGGUCUAGGACCACCGUAAUGAUUAAUAGGGAUAGUUGGGGGCAUUAGUAUUCAAUUGUCAGAGGUGAAAUUCUUGGAUUUAUUGAAGACUAACUAUUGCGAAAGCAUUUGCCAAGGAUGUUUUCAUUAAUCAAGAACGAAAGUUAGGGGAUCGAAGACGAUCAGAUACCGUCGUAGUCUUAACCAUAAACUAUGCCGACUAGGAAUCGGGCGACGUUAUUUUAAUGACUCGCUCGGCGCCUUAUGGG